CUCAACGGAUAAAAGGUACUCCGGGGAUAACAGGCUUAUCGCGCCCAAGCGCUCAUAGCGACGGCGCGGUUUGGCACCUCGAUGUCGGCUCAUCACAUCCUGGGGCUGCAGAAGGUCCCAAGGGUUGGGCUGUUCGCCCAUUAAAGUGGUACGUGAGCUGGGUUUAGAACGUCGUAAGACAGUUCGGUCCCUAUCUUUUACGGGCGUAGGAAAUUUGAGUGGAGCUGCCGCUAGUAUGAGAAGACCGUGGUGGACGAACCUCUGGUGCACCAGUUGUCACGCCUGUGGCAUCGCUGGGUAGCUAUGUUCGGAAAGGAUAAAUGCUGAAAGCAUCUAAGCAUGAAGCCUUCCUCAAGAUGAGAUUUCCCACAGAGUUAAUCUGGUAAGACCCCUUGUAGAUAACGAGGUUGAUAGGCCAAAUGUGUAAGCACGGUGACGUGUUUAGCUAACUGGUACUAAUUGGUCGAGGGCUUAACUUAUUU
Molecule: ribosomal RNA, 482 nt
Filed under: Candidatus Poribacteria bacterium
Lineage: Bacteria; Candidatus Poribacteria
Description: bacterial LSU rRNA
Rfam family: Bacterial large subunit ribosomal RNA
Source: RNAcentral